CAAUAGCUAAGGAAAGGAGUUUCGAGGUGUGUCUUUCCCCAGGUACGCCCUGAUCUAAAAGCUUCAUUUUCUCACUCGAUCUUCUGGUGAUUUAUAAACUGGGGAAGUUCAGGUCAACUUCCAAGAACAGCCAAAUAGGUGCUAGCUAGGUGAGAGGAGCGAGGAAGGUGUGGCUCCCUCAAGUACUUCCUGAUCUGAAAAUUCCAUUUGCUCUCCCUUCUUCUCGUGAUUUAUACAUUGUGGAAGGGAAGUGCACGGUCAACUUCCAAGAGUAGCAGGAGGUGCGAGGUGCGGCUCCCUCAGAUUUAAAGCCAUGAACUGGAUUCAACGCAAGAUCUACCUGUACAAUGUCACUUUCGGACCAUACGGGUUGGAUUGGUGGGAAAAAUACAUAUUCAAUUUAUUGGUGAUCAUGUUGCUCUGGUUUAUUUGCUACAAUGGAUCACGAACUGCAGCCGAGUUUUACAGAAGCCAUCUCAAAGUUAUGCUUGGAAUUGGAGAGUAAUAGAUUGUUGAAGGUAGAAUCAAUGGAAGAGUGAUUUUUCUUAUACUGUAGUACCUCA
Molecule: long non-coding RNA, 563 nt
Organism: Telopea speciosissima
Lineage: Eukaryota; Viridiplantae; Streptophyta; Magnoliopsida; Proteales; Proteaceae
Exons: 4
Source: RefSeq, a predicted model, not a curated record